AUGGCGACCGGCGCACGGGUGAGUAACACGUAUCCAACCUGCCGAUGACUCGGGGAUAGCCUUUCGAAAGAAAGAUUAAUACCCGAUGGCAUAGUUCUUCCGCAUGGUAGAACUAUUAAAGAAUUUCGGUCAUCGAUGGGGAUGCGUUCCAUUAGCUUGUUGGCGGGGUAACGGCCCACCAAGGCAUCGAUGGGAUAGGGGUUCUGAGACGGAAGGUCCCCCACAUUGGAACUGAGACACGGUCCAAACUCCUACGGAAGGCAGCAG
This 267-nucleotide ribosomal RNA is filed under the name uncultured bacterium. RNAcentral's name for it is "partial 16S ribosomal RNA". It matches the Rfam family "Bacterial small subunit ribosomal RNA", at positions 88 to 354 of the family's 1533-position model. The record is from RNAcentral.